Molecule: transfer RNA, 74 nt
Filed under: Chamaesiphon sp.
Lineage: Bacteria; Bacillati; Cyanobacteriota; Cyanophyceae; Gomontiellales; Chamaesiphonaceae
Description: tRNA-Pro
Rfam family: tRNA
About the family: Transfer RNA (tRNA) molecules are approximately 80 nucleotides in length. Their secondary structure includes four short double-helical elements and three loops (D, anti-codon, and T loops). Further hydrogen bonds mediate the characteristic L-shaped molecular structure. tRNAs have two regions of fundamental functional importance: the anti-codon, which is responsible for specific mRNA codon recognition, and the 3' end, to which the tRNAs corresponding amino acid is attached (by aminoacyl-tRNA synthetases). tRNAs cope with the degeneracy of the genetic code in two manners: having more than one tRNA (with a specific anti-codon) for a particular amino acid; and 'wobble' base-pairing, i.e. permitting non-standard base-pairing at the 3rd anti-codon position.
Source: RNAcentral
CGGGAUGUAGCGCAGCUUGGUAGCGCACUGCUUUCGGGAAGCAGGGGUCGUCGGUUCGAUUCCGACCAUUCCGA